Molecule: ribosomal RNA, 473 nt
Filed under: uncultured bacterium
Lineage: Bacteria
Description: bacterial SSU rRNA
Rfam family: Bacterial small subunit ribosomal RNA
Source: RNAcentral
ACUCCUACGGGAGGCAGCAGUAGGGAAUCUUCCACAAUGGGCGCAAGCCUGAUGGAGCAACACCGCGUGAGUGAAGAAGGGUUUCGGCUCGUAAAGCUCUGUUGUUAAAGAAGAACACGUAUGAGAGUAACUGUUCAUACGUUGACGGUAUUUAACCAGAAAGUCACGGCUAACUACGUGCCAGCAGCCGCGGUAAUACGUAGGUGGCAAGCGUUAUCCGGAUUUAUUGGGCGUAAAGAGAGUGCAGGCGGUUUUCUAAGUCUGAUGUGAAAGCCUUCGGCUUAACCGGAGAAGUGCAUCGGAAACUGGAUAACUUGAGUGCAGAAGAGGGUAGUGGAACUCCAUGUGUAGCGGUGGAAUGCGUAGAUAUAUGGAAGAACACCAGUGGCGAAGGCGGCUACCUGGUCUGCAACUGACGCUGAGACUCGAAAGCAUGGGUAGCGAACCGGAUUAGAUACCCUGGUAGGAUAGCG